This is a non-coding RNA of Paramuricea clavata, 236 nucleotides long. Lineage: Eukaryota; Metazoa; Cnidaria; Anthozoa; Malacalcyonacea; Plexauridae. The record is from the annotation of a GenBank genome assembly.
GUGAAAAUCACAAUCAAGCUGGUCAAAAUUCGAUACAAAUGUCUUCGUCGAGUUCAGAUACGGAAAAUAACAGUUACCAAAGCGAUGACUGCCUGAAAUUAUAUUCCUGGGCCGUAUCAAAUCGAGUGAAAUCGAUGAAAACACCAGUGAAGCGUGGUCAACGUCGUGCGCACAAAUGAUCGGCGCUGCUUGAUCCAUAUGUUAAUGAACCAUGCAGUGACCGACGAAGAUGGCUC